Molecule: small nucleolar RNA, 145 nt
Organism: Acomys russatus (golden spiny mouse)
Lineage: Eukaryota; Metazoa; Chordata; Mammalia; Rodentia; Muridae
Product: small nucleolar RNA SNORA48
Exons: 1
Source: RefSeq, a predicted model, not a curated record
AGCCCCCUGGCAAUGAGCAAAGAGACAGCAUGUUGGUGGUAUUGUUCUUCUAUCAAUCAGGGGCAGAGCAGAUGGCCGUCCUUUGUUCAACCUAGCUUGAUGCCUGGUUUGGUGGCCAAAACUAUUUAAUGCCCGGGGCAACAUA